Araneus ventricosus is the source of this 77-nucleotide non-coding RNA. The record is from the annotation of a GenBank genome assembly. NCBI's taxonomy places the organism in Eukaryota, Metazoa, Arthropoda, Arachnida, Araneae, Araneidae.
GCGUCGGUGGUAUAACGGUUAGCUUAUAGCUGACCUUCCAAGCAUGCUUGACCCGGGUUCGACUCCCGGCCGACGCA